CUAUGUUUAAAUAUCUCCUGUUUAGUACUAUGAGAUGUCCUACGGCUUGAAUGUAGAGAUGCAUAAACAAACUGAGAUCUGUAAACGUCUUGAUGCAAUAAUAAGACAAGUUCUACCCUUCUUAUCUGGCGAGCAUCAACAACAAGUUGCAGUAGCAGUUGAGAGAGCUAAACAAAUUACAAUGGCAGAACUGAAUGCAGUUAUGCAGCAAGCAGCUGGAGGACCUGGUGGUCUACCUGGUGGUCCCCCUGGUGCCCCUGGUCUCCCCCCUGCCCUGGCAGGUAUGCCUGGUUUGCCCCCUAGCUCAGCUGCUGGGCUACUCUCCCUGGCUGGUCAUGGUAUACCUGGUCUACCCCCAACUUCACUACAACAACUCAUGGCCAGACAUGAACAUAUGAAGCAGGAGGAGAAAUCUCCCCUGGUGGCAAUGGAGGAGAGAUUAAAACAUUCCGCUUCAUCCUCCCCAGCCGGCAGGAAUUACGGCGAUUUUAGAGAUAUGCGCGAUCCAAGAGAUAUUCACCGACCGCGCUCACCGAUCUCAGCGCGAUCCCCAAUCCGAGCAUCUACACCUAAUGAUGAAAUUGCGGCAAAGCGAUUGAAAACCGAAGACAUCAGAAAAUCUGGACAUGAGUCUGACAGUGGUGACAAAUCAGACGGCGACCUUGUCGUCGAUGUUGGUAACGAGGACGAAUCUGGUCGACAGAUGAACGGCGACCACAGGGGAGGAGAGAACGGGAACGCGGACCGGAGAGAUCGUCCUCCCUCGAAUAUGUCCUCAUCGUCUAGAUCUACUCCCUCCUUGAAGCAGAAGGACCUGGAAAAACCAGGAACUCCUGGAUCCAAACCUGCAACUCCUAAUGAUCUCGCUCCGGGACAGAAAGCUCCAACUCCUCCCCGUGGACCUCCUCAUGGUCCUCAAUUACCUGGCGCUGGACCUUAUCCUUACCCUGGACUAGGGGGUCGGCCUCCUGGUGACCCUCUAGGAUACCCACCUGGAGCCCCUUUAGGUCCUGGCUACCCUAGACCUCCACUGGCCGGCCCACCAGGGGUUCCCCCUGUAGGCCCCCCUGCGGGCCAUGACCCGCACCCCAACCCCCGUGUCCCCGUAUCUAACGGAAUCUCCAACGGCGCAGGACUUACUGGCCCAUCAGGAAAACCAUCCUACUCAUUUCAUGUCGGUGCAGACAACCAGCUGCAGCCGGUCAGUUUCCCUCAUGAUGCGCUCACAGCGCAGGGAAUUCCUCGCCACGCGCGGCAAAUCAAUACCUUGGCGCACGGUGAAGUUGUGUGCGCAGUAACCAUGUCGAACCCUACUAAGUUUGUGUAUACAGGGGGGAAAGGUUGUGUUAAGGUUUGGGAUAUAACCCAACCUUCUAAUAAGACUCCUAUUAGUCAGUUAGACUGUCUACAGAGAGAGAAUUAUAUUCGUUCCAUUAAACUUUUACCUGACGGACGAACCCUGGUGGUGGGAGGAGAAGCAAGUAAUCUAUCUAUCUGGGAUCUAGCAGCUCCUACUCCUAGAAUCAAGGCGGAGAUGCCAAGCUCCGCCCCGGCCUGCUACGCCCUUGCCAUCAGUCCCGACUCCAAGGUCUGUUUUAGCUGUUGCAGUGAUGGUAACAUCGCUGUCUGGGAUCUUCACAAUCAAACUCAGAUUAGACAGUUCCAGGGACAUACGGACGGAGCCAGCUGUAUAGAUAUAUCUGCAGAUGGAACUAAGCUAUGGACGGGAGGUUUGGAUAACACUGUACGUUCCUGGGAUCUCCGGGAAGGAAGACAACUACAACAACAUGAUUUUAGUUCUCAGAUAUUCUGUCUUGGUUAUUGUCCAACCGGAGACUGGUUAGCUGUUGGUAUGGAAAACUCUAAUGUUGAAGUUCUUCAUUGUUCUAAACCAGAUAAAUAUCAGCUUCAUCUGCAUGAAAGCUGUGUUCUCUCUCUCAAGUUUGCAAACAACGGCAAAUGGUUUGUUUCAACUGGAAAAGACAAUCUUCUUAACUCCUGGAGAACUCCCUACGGAGCUUCUAUAUUUGUCUCCAAAGAAACCUCCUCAGUCCUGAGUUGCGACAUCAGCAACGACGACAAGUAUAUUGUGACAGGGUCAGGAGAUAAGAAGGCGACUGUGUAUGAAGUUAUUUACUAAACCUGAUUUAACGGUGAGGUGGAUUCUAGAGGGGUUUAAGUAAGGUUGUAUUAAGAACACUGGAGGUGAUCUUGACAUUAAGCUUGUUAAUCUUCAGGGUUUAAUUUAUCCACUUUAUAGAGAACAAGGAGUAUCAAUAAACUCUCAAAGAUAUUUUAUAAACAAAGUGAAACAACAUAUUAACACAUCAUACAAUGUUACCCAUUUUCUUUUCUCCUGUUAACUCGUUGAAGAAUUCGAGGAUAGAAAUGGUUAAAAUGAUAUUAUAUUUACCAAUCUAUAUAUACGUAAUGAUUCAACAUGACUAAUCGUUACGUUAUUUUCUGUGUUAAACGACAUUAAAGAAAUAUAAUACUGUCUUGAUA
This 2505-nucleotide unclassified non-coding RNA is filed under the name Eurytemora carolleeae. RNAcentral describes it as "protein groucho". Lineage: Eukaryota; Metazoa; Arthropoda; Copepoda; Calanoida; Temoridae. The record is from RNAcentral.